Equus quagga is the source of this 6396-nucleotide RNA transcript. RefSeq lists it as uncharacterized. Lineage: Eukaryota; Metazoa; Chordata; Mammalia; Perissodactyla; Equidae. The record is from RefSeq and is a predicted model, not a curated record. The transcript is spliced from 2 exons.
ACAGAGCACGUUUUGCUGUCCACUCAUCUGUUGAUAGAAAUUUGGGUUCCUCCCACCUGUCGGUUGUUGCGAACAAUGCUGCUGUGAACGUGGGUGUGCAAAAAUCUCUUUGAGACCCUGCUUUCAGUCCUUUUGGAUGUUUCCCGGGCAGCGGGAUCGCUGGGUCCCAGGUGCUGUGGGCUUUAGCCCAGCGGCGUCCACACGUCCACAGAGCAGCCGCGAGGGGGGAGGCUCUGGGGCAGAGGGCUUGGUUUGGACCCCAGCUCUGCCACUUCCUAGCUGUUUUCUCAGUUGAGCCACCUGCUCUGAGCCUCAGUUUCCUCCUCUGUGCAAUGGGUGACAGUGUCUAUCUGUGGAGGGUGAAGGUGGGAAGAGUAUGGUGUUGGAACGGUGCCGGGCGCCCAGCACGUGCCCAGCAGGUGACACCCAUGUGCGUUUCCUACAGACUUCUUGUCUGAUGACUGUGGCUUUACACCGUCCCCACCCCCAAGCUGCUGGGCGCUGGGAGUGACGAUCCGUCUCUAUCAGGAUGUACCCAGAGUUUAUCUGCCCCGGGCAAAGCCCAGACAGCUGGGUUGGUGUUUGGUGACAGGCACUGCCCCUCUGCUGGGGCCUGGGGUGGGGGGGCAGUGACAACGCAGCCGUGGGGGAGCGGGGGGCUCCCUGAUUCAGAGGCCUCCAGCCCAGCCUCCCCACCCCCCGCGCAGAUGGCUGGCUCAGCCCAGCUGAGAGGGAGGAGCUCGGAAGAGAGGAGCCAGGCCGCGUGGCCUGCAGUGGGGGGCGCAGGGCAGAUGGAAGCGUCUGCAGGCCGGGCUGGGGGGACCUCGUGCACCUGGACGUUGGCCGAGCUGCGGGUCGCACAGACGCAGGGGCAGCGAGCUCCCCAGGGAGGGGCAGGCGGGAGGGGGAGGGGACAGUGACGUUGCUGUUUUCAGAGACGGGAAGGAGGGCUCAGGGGAACCUCGCAGGCGGGGCUGGGAGGCUGCGGGCAGGGACACGGCCACAGCCGGCUGUCCUGUCUCCUGGGGCCUCGGGGCCACUUCCUCCCGCCGCAGAGAGCUGCGUCCUCAGCGCGGCGCUGAAGCUGAGCCUCCUGGUCCUGGGCUGGGCGUCAGCUGCCGGGCGGGGCCUCCCGGGACCACCGGCUGACACGAGAUGACCUGGCUCAGACUGGCCAAGGUCAGUCAGUCAGUCCCCAGAGGCAAUACCCACCCCUCCCGCCAAUCGGACCCCCGGCUCUGCUGUUUAUUGGGGGACGGAGAUGGGACGGUCACCCCACUGGGAGCGUCGAGGCUGCGGUGGGUCAGAAGCGUGGCUCUGGCAGGUUUCUGUGACCCCGACCUCCUGUGUGAGUGUCUGCUUUAGUCCUUGGGCUGGCAGAGGGAGGGGGCAGCUGCUCAGCUGGACAGGCGUUUGCUGAGCAGCGGCUCUGUGCCAGGCCUGGUUCUGCUCCCUGGAGUAGGUGGCUCCGAGCGAGGGCAAGUGGCACAAGAGUCAGGGCCGGCCACGCAACCUGGCACAGCUGGCCCAACUCCGCCCCUCCCUGCCUCGACCUUUCUUCCACCCGGGGCAGAGUGCGCGUCCCCAGCCCUGGCUUUGGUGCGGCCACUCGACUUGCUGUGGCCAAAGGAGUGAAGCCGAAGUGCUGCCAUGCUGGCUCGGCCCCCAGCCCUCACGGGACCCCAUGCUUCCCCCCUGCCCUUGCCAUCGGGCGAGACGACACGCCUGGAGGAUCCCGCUGACCCGAGGGGGACGAGAGGCAGGUGGGGCACGUGAAUGAGAACACGUGGCCGUGGUUUUAAGCCACUGACGUUAGGGCCACUUGUUACUGGGCAUUUUGGUAGCCAGAGCCAACUGACACACCAGCCAUCGGUCAGUGCUGUUGUAGCCUCAUUCUGCAGACGGGAGCUGAGGCCAGCCAGGUGGAGGGGCCGUCUCAACAUGGCAGGGAGCUCCGGCCUGCUUGUUCUGUCAUUCAGCACCGACCCCUUGCCUGGAACUGUGCUGGUGGCUGGACACAGUGGGUGGCACAGACGCGCCUUCUGGGAGGAACCUGUGUUAAGGGAACUUAUCCUUCCUCACAGCUUCAGCAGGAGUCGGAGAACUGACCCGCCACCCCGCUGUGCAGACCCACUUGAGCCGGCCUCGGCCGAGGCAGGCCGUGGGCUCCUACGGGCCAGGCUGGAGCGCGUGUCCACUCCCUGUUGCGAGGGGAAGGGAGGACCCCCGACCACGUGGACUGGCCGUGGAGGAGAGAUGGUUUCCCCAAGAAAACGUGGGUGCGGUUGGACCUCAAGAAGGGGAAGUAGAUGCUGAGCAGAGAAACGCGAGGCUCCCCCAAACCUCGGGACCUGAUGGAGACCUCCCGGCGGCCCCGUGGGCCUCGGCGAAGCCCCCCAGGGUCCACGCUGCUCCAGGCCUUCCCGCCCUUGGCCGUGCCUCGCGGGAGUGCUGAGGACGCACGGCCACCCCACCGUGAUUUAUUCCUGGCAUCCGCGUGGCCACUUGCUGUGAGGAGCUUUGCUCUGGAACGGUCAGCUACGGGGCCAUCCGUCUUGUUGGCGGCUCCUGAUAAAACGCGCGGCCUCAGCAGACAGGGCCCGUAACGAACACGAUCAGGGCUGUUCAUUUAGAAACCAGGAGACCUUGAAAUUGGCUGUAAUUGACGGGGUGAGCAGCCAGGGGUUUGGCUGGUUUGUUCCGACCGGAGACAGCCCGCCUCUGGGAAGGUCGUGGCGACCCGCACACUGGCUGUGAGUCCUGGACGUGCCCCCCCGUCUGGCCAUGGGCCAGCUGUAUGGCCUCUUCCAGACCCCGUCUCCUCGUCUGUGAGAGGGAGAUGCAUCGGCCAGCACCAGCUCAGCUAUGUUGCGGUAACAAACAAGCCCCAAUCUCACGGCUUCAAACAACCGACGUGCAUUUCUCACCUGCCGCGUGUCUGUGGUAGGUUGGCUGGUGGCUCGGCUCCACCCUCCUCACUCCGGGACCCCGACUCCUGGAGCGUCUCAUCCACGCUACGAGCACCCCGUGGCCCGGGGCAAAUCCCACACUGGCUCCUACAGCUCCUGCUCAGAAGCAACUUCCCUCACUUGCGCUCACAUCUCCUUGGUCCGGGCCAGUCACACGGCCGUGCUAACUUCUUGUGGGCGUCGGGGUAGAAAAGCCCCACCACGUGACAGGUGAUGGGAAAGCCAGACGGUUCUCGUUUAUCAGAGAGAGCCGUCUGCCGAGCCAGCGUGGAAGGCGGGGUUGGGCCUCUCCCUCCUGGGGAUGCUCAUCAUCUGACUCGAAUCCAUCCUGUGUUUUCCCGCCAGAUUCGUCCCUCCCGCCGCCAUGGCCACGUCCCUCUGCUGUGACCUUCCAGGGCUCCGCUGGGCAUGAGCGCUCGUCAGCCCGGCGUUGGAGAGCCCUGCAUGGCGCCUCACGGAUAGUCACACGCCUCGGCGAGGGCCAGCCCGCUGCGUCCCCAGGCUCCAGAACCGGGCCCACCACCCAGCAGGUGCUCAGUCAUGACUUGCUGCGACUGUGAAAUGCGUGCACAGCGUCGCCUGCCCUGGAAGACAGCAGAGGCAUGUCUCGGUGCACCGUGCCACUGCCGCCCGCCGUCAUCACCAUCCCCUGGAAGUGGCCUCUCUGCUGCAUACCCAGCCCCGGGAGCCACCUGCGCUCUGGGCCUCGGCCCCUCACUCCUCCACACGGCCCCCGUGUGGGCAUUGCUGCAGCAGGAUUCUCUUUUCAAAACUUUAUUUCUUCCCCAGUUUUAUUGGGAUCUAACUGACAUACAAUGUAUUAGUUUGGGGCGUACAACACGAUGACUUGAUACAUGUGGGUAUCACGAUGAGCACCAGAAUCGCUCAGUUAGCGUCCAUCGCACACAGCCACACAGUCUUUAUCUUGUCAGGGGAACUUUGAUGAUUUGCUCUCUGGCAAGUUUCAAAUAUACGCUCCGGCCUCGUCACCUUCAGGCGGGAUUCCUCAGCGAUAUUCAUUCCCGUUUAUUCCCCGUCAUUCUCCCUCCUCCGAUUCCAAGACAGUUUGUCGCUCUGUGAAUUUUCUUGAUUUUGUUUUUACCAAGCAGGGAGUAGAAGCUUCUGGCAGACAGUUAUCUAUCUGCCUUGUAUUAAGCUGGGCUCUCUAGAGACACAGACCAAUGGGAUAUCCACAUCCACAUCCAUAUCCAUAUCAAUAUCUACAUCCACAUAUCAUCUGUAUCUAUGUCUGUCUAUCUAUCUAUCCGUCUGUCUGUCUGUCUAUCUACUUGUCUAUCUCCCUAUCUAGAGACUCAUUAGAAGGAAUUGGCUCACGUGGUUAUGGAGGCUGAGAAGCCCCACGAUUUGCCGUCUGCACGCUGGAGGCCCAGGAGGCCGUGGUGUAAGCUCCAGUCCGACUCUGAGUCCAAAGGCAGGGAAGACGGACGUCCCUGCGUGAAGACAGUCAGGCAGAGAGAGUGAAUCCUCCCUUACUCCCUUUUUGUUCUAUUCAGGCCUUCAACUGAUUGGACAAGGCCCACCCACAUUGGGGAGAACAAUCUGCUUCAGUCAGUCUAUGGAUUCAAAUGUUAAUCUCAUCCAGAAACACACCCAGAAUGGUGUUUGACCAAAUACCAGGGCAGCCCUUGGUCCAGCAAGCUGAUACAUAAAAUUAGCCAUCUCAUGCCUUUUGUGAAAACCCCAUGUAUUAAUUAGUCAGGGUAUAGGCUCAGCUGCUGUAACAAAGAAACCCCCAAACACACAGGUUCAGACAGGAGAGGAGUUUGUUUCUGCUGGGAGAUGUGCCAAGGGAGGCGAAGGCAGGAGAGUCUGGGGACCCUGUCCCUCCGUCUUGUUCCAGCAGCCCCAGGAUACAGUCCUUCACGGCCCCGGGGGGACGUGGAGCCAGAACCAGACCCACGUCUAACUCUCAGAAGCGGGAGAGAAAGACAGUGGCGGGCAGGCGGCUGCUGCGAAAGUGGCACGACCGUUUCUGCGGCAUCCGACGGGAGCAAGGACGUGGGGUGGGUGGCGGCUCAGCAUCCGGUCCCAGCUGCGCGCUCUCACAGGGCUGGGCGUCCCAGACCCAAUGUGAGCAGCUAUCGGCUCUGGAGCGGCGCCGAGGGAGAGGGGGUUCCACAGGCUGGAGUCGCAGAGCCAGGCUGGCCUGGUCACCUCAUCCCGUGGUGCUGCCGGGAGGGGACAGGAUCUGGGCGCUGCCUCUGCGCCCGCGUGGACGGCUGCCCGCCAUGCAGAUGCUGCGGAGCUUCCACCAGAGGGACCGCGGGCUGCAUCCUGCACAUCUUACGGGUGGCCGGAGGGACCCCUCAGUCAUUUGGUCUCUCAUCCGACACAGCACGGAGCAGCCCACUCCUGAGACCGAGACUGAAUUUCCUUGGAAUCGGCACUUGUCAAUUGGAAAGAAAUAAAAAUGGGUCUAUCUCGCAGAGCUGGGUCUGUGGCCUGAGAGGUACCCCUGUUAAUGUCCCCAUUGUGUUAAGUGAGGAGACCGGCUCAGAGAUGUCAGGUCACUGCCCCUGGUCACACAGCAAGUCCAGCAUAAAAGUGGGAUUUGGCAGGAGGCCGGCAGUGUGCAGACCCCCAGGCGUCGCCGCUGGGCCGCCCUGUCCUGCUUGUGUGCAGGCACGUUCUGAGGUGGACGCAGGGCGGGCAGGAGGAGUUGGGGGGGGGGGGCAGUCUGGGUGCUGAGGAGAUAGCUGCGAUGUGUGGUGUAGGUUUGCCAGCCGUUCUAGAAAGUUCAGCCAGCCGCACCCUGGGUAGCUUGCUGGAGGCUCCUAUCUAUGUCUCAGAAGCAACGGGCGGUUUUCUAAGCAAGUUGUCGCCUGCUGUCACCUCCCCACGCCCGGCGGGGCCGACGCUCUGGGGAAUUUUUCAGAGCUGCUCCUGCUCCGGGAGGGGGAGCGCCCGGGCUCACAGGGGCGUUGAGGAGGCCGUGGGACGAGAGCCUGUCCGCUCUGCCGCCCUGGCCCAGCCGGAACUCACCGCUCUGGGCCUCGUGUCCUCGCCUCCAGGAGGGACCCGGUAACACGGCUGCAGGGACAAGCCCAUGGCAGCGCAGCUGCGUGUUUCUCUCACGCCUGGUGCGUGGGAAGGCCCGCGUGGGGCCCGCGGCUUCGGGCGAAGGUGAGCUCUCCCAUCCGUGACUCCGCAGGUCCCCUCUUAGCUCCAGACCAAAGGGGACUCACACGCGUGUGUGCAGGCGGCGUGCGCAGGAGUGUGUGGGGCGCCCUGGUCACUGGAGCAGAACCCGGAGCCGACCCACAUACGCAUGGGUGGGAAACGAUGAACACACGAGUUGUGUAACAUCGCCACAAUCCCUUUUAGCACAUCCUCGUCCCCCUGAGAGGAGCCCCCUCCCCAUCAGCGGUCCCUCCCCCGACCCCCGGCCCCGGAACCCCCACUCUGC